CUAGGAGCCCGGCGGCUAAUCAGCGGGUCAAUCAGAAAUGAUAAAUAACACACUGUAAAAGCAAACAUGGUGUUUAAUUAAAAAUAUUAAAUUGACCUUAAUCAGUUUUUGUCAACCUGCUAUUAACACUCACUUUUAUUAAGUUACUUGUACUUUGAGGUUGAAAAAUCUUACCAGCUCAGUCUACUUGAGCUGGAUUAAUUUAGAAAAAGUAAGUUUAUGACACUGUGGGCAUGCGCAGAUCAAUCAAUCAUCCCCAACCAAUCAAGCUGCUUCGUAGGCGGGUCUUGACGUGGCGGGAUUCGUAAUUUUGCAAACGGUAUGUCACCGCAACUGACCGACCAGAUGAAGCUGGAUAUCAUUGAGCUGGACCUAAACAUCGCUUUAACGGCAGUUGUGAUUAUUGUCAGCGUAACAGCGAUUCUUGUGCUUGGCACACUCAUUUGUUUCCUUCCAGGCACAAGCAGAUGGUGAUCAAUCCACACAUUCCAUAAUCCCAGCAAUAAAAGAUUUUCAAACAGUUAUCAAAAUGGACCAGAGGUUGUUACUGAGAGCCAUCAUCGCUGAAGAUGAUAUAAGUAAGUUGACUUUAAUUAAGAGACCACAGUCCAUUGAAGAAUUCAAAGUGCAACUGGUGGAUAAACUGUCACUGCAGUAUGACUUUAAACUGCAGUAUGAAGAUCAAGACUCCAAUAAUGCCCUCUGCAAUUUGACUGAAAUAACUGAUUUACCUGAAAGAGCUACAG
This is a non-coding RNA of Danio rerio (zebrafish), 746 nucleotides long. The record is from RefSeq and is a predicted model, not a curated record. NCBI's taxonomy places the organism in Eukaryota, Metazoa, Chordata, Actinopteri, Cypriniformes, Danionidae.